GAGUUUGAUCAUGGCUCAGAACGAACGCUGGCGGCGUGGAUUAGGCAUGCAAGUCGAGCGCGAAAGUCUCUUUCGGGAGACGAGUAGAGCGGCGAAAGGGUGAGUAAUGCUCGGGCAACUUGCCCCUUGGACCGGGAUAGCCGCUGGAAACGGCGGGUAAUACCGGAUGGUCUCGCGCGGACCGCGGUCUGGGCGAGUAAAGGUGGGGACCUUCGGGCCCGCCACCAAGGGAGAGGCUCGAGUCGUACCAGCUUGUUGGUGGGGUAACGGCCCACCAAGGCGAAGACGCGUAGCCGGACUGAGAGGUUGGCCGGCCACACUGGCACUGAGACACUGGCCAGACUCCUACGGGAGGCUGCAGUCGAGAAUCUUCCGCAAUGGGCGAAAGCCUGACGGAGCGACGCCGCGUGGAGGAAGAAGGCCUUCGGGUUGUAAACUCCUGUCAGGGCCUCGGAAAGCUCCGGAGCGAAUACCUUCGGAGUUGACCAAACCCAAAGGAAGCCACAGCUAACUUCGUGCCAGCAGCUGCGGUAAUACGAAGG
Molecule: ribosomal RNA, 542 nt
Filed under: uncultured bacterium
Lineage: Bacteria
Description: bacterial SSU rRNA
Rfam family: Bacterial small subunit ribosomal RNA
Source: RNAcentral